UCGAAAGCCUGUCCCAGUUCGGACUGGAGUCUGCAACCCGACUCCACGAAGCUGGAUUCGCUAGUAAUCGCGCAUCAGCCAUGGCGCGGUGAAUACGUUCCCGGGCCUUGUACACACCGCCCGUCAAGCCAUGGGAGCCGGGGGCGCCUGAAGUCCGGGACCGCGAGGACCGGCCUAGGGCGAAACUGGUAACUGGGGCUAAGUCGUAACAAGGUAUC
RNAcentral lists this ribosomal RNA (218 nucleotides) under uncultured bacterium. RNAcentral describes it as "partial 16S ribosomal RNA". It matches the Rfam family "Bacterial small subunit ribosomal RNA", at positions 1275 to 1500 of the family's 1533-position model. The record is from RNAcentral.